GGCGAACGCUGGCGGCGUGCUUAACACAUGCAAGUCGAACGGAAAGGCCCUGCUUUUGUGGGGUGCUCGAGUGGCGAACGGGUGAGUAACACGUGAGUAACCUGCCCUUGACUUUGGGAUAACUUCAGGAAACUGGGGCUAAUACCGGAUAGGAGCUCCUGCUGCAUGGGGGGGGUUGGAAAGUUUCGGCGGUUGGGGAUGGACGCGCGGCUUAUCAGCUUGUUGGUGGGGUAGUGGCUUACCAAGGCUUUGACGGGUAGCCGGCCUGAGAGGGUGACCGGCCACAUUGGGACUGAGAUACGGCCCAGACUCCUACGGGAGGCAGCAGUGGGGAAUAUUGCACAAUGGGCGGAAGCCUGAUGCAGCAACGCCGCGUGCGGGAUGACGGCCUUCGGGUUGUAAACCGCUUUCGCCUGUGACGAAGCGUGAGUGACGGUAAUGGGUAAAGAAGCACCGGCUAACUACGUG
RNAcentral lists this ribosomal RNA (468 nucleotides) under uncultured bacterium. Its description in RNAcentral is "partial 16S ribosomal RNA". It matches the Rfam family "Bacterial small subunit ribosomal RNA", at positions 28 to 507 of the family's 1533-position model. The record is from RNAcentral.